GGGGUUUUCUCUUUGUUUAAAUCCCUCCUCCCUCUGUCUCUACAAGGGAGCUGUUUUCUUCUUCCUUCUUUCUUGCUUAUUAAACUCUCCUCUCCUUAAAACCACUCCACGUAUGUCCAAGUCGUUUUAUCUAAUUCGGUGCAAGAUUAAGGACACUAGUGUUCUUCCAGUCAUCAUAGCCAUAUCAAUACUUGGUGUCAGAAGGAAGGACCAAAGGUGAUUCACCUUAAGGAGACUCACCAGGCCUUGGAACUACAGCAUGAGGUACCCACACUGGGGCUCUUUAGGGCCGCCGACCCUGACUUCCACGGGUCACUUCUUCUCCGGCUUGGAGAGUCUGUCUUAGAACUCCCAAUUUUGAUUUGUUUUCUGUUUUAUUUGGGAUUUGGUGAGGAAAGAUCUUUUCCUCCUUGUUUGAAUCUCUUGUUGAAGAGGACUCUUUUCCUCUGUUGACCUUGUCUAUGAAGUUUGAACCUAGAGGUUUGAAUGAGGAAAUUUUUUUCUUCAUUUGGAGAAGGCCAUUGUUUUUCUUGGUAAGCAUAUACUUUAUUUUUCUCCUGUGCUUGCAUUUAUUUUGCUUUUACAUAUUCAGUGCUUGAGUUUCACUGGAGUUUGUGCAUUUAGCAGCUGACUAAAUCACCUAAAUAAAUUUAGUUACAAAUGAACUCUCAAAGUUCAAUGACAUGAGAAUUAGGCUCUGAUUUUUUUAUCUUGCCCAAAUUCAUACCUAAGGAGUCUGGGGAGUCAUGCCCUACAAACCAUAAACUAACAUCACAUGGGUUUCAUUUAACCCUGUAUAUCAUGACUUACUUUCCAAUCUGACUCUGGCAUAACAUUAUGUGACAAAGAAGAAAGUCAAAUGUUUUACCCCAAAACAUGUUUACUUGCCAUAUUUUGAAAUGGCCCUGCAAAGCUGUCCUUUGUGGGGAGAAAUUUGCAUAUGUAAAGAAUCUCUAUUAAAAUAACUGGAUCUUUUUCUCCAGGCCCUCCCAAUCCUAAAGAGAUUAACUAAGAGUCUAGCACCUUUUAAAUAUCUGAAUAGGAUAUCAUUCUAUUGUCUCUAAGAGCAGCCACUAUAAGACUUCAAAAGAACCUUGGUCUCCACAUCCUUUUAUCUUAACCUGAAUAUUUAUUUUCUAUCGACCCCAGGUCUUUAGACAAACUCAACUAAUUGUCAACCAGAAAAUGUUUAAAUUUACCUAUAGCCUGAAACUACCCCCCCCCACCCCCCACCUUCCUAAUCCCUGGCUUUGAAUUGUCCCACCUUUCUGGACCAAACCAAUGUAUUUCUAAUAUGUCAGUAAAUUGAGUUAUAUACCUAUAAUUGUAUAUAUAUAUGUGUGUGUGUGUGUGUAUAUCCUUUGAUAGAUGAUUUUAUUGACUACUUUUUGUUUGUUUGUUUAUAGCCCCUCUGGCUAAUCUUUGUUCCCUUAAAUACAGAGAACUUUGGGAGCUUUGGGAAGUUUGCUAAUUUUUUCUUUUUUAGAAUUUUUUUUUUUUUGCCUUGCUUUAUAUUCCUCAAUUUUAUCACAGAAUUAGCAAAUGGCUUGUAGGAAAAGUGAAGAUUUGAACACUGUCUGUUUUGUGCUGCUCUAAUAGAAUACAAAGACCAGAUAAUUCAUAAUGAACAUAAAUGUAUUGGCUUACAAUUCUAGAGGCUGAGAAGGGGCCAGCAUCUAGUGAGGUUCUUCUUGCUGUACUAUCAAAUGGAAGGAGGUGAGACCAGGAGAGAGAGAACCCACUCCUCAAAGUCAUUUUUUUAAAGGCACUAAACUCACUCACAUAUAAAGGCGGAAUUCUUAUGGGCCUUAAAGGCCCCACCUCCCAAUACCAUUAUAUUUGCAAUUAAAUUUUAACCUGAGUUUUGGAGGAGACAAACAUUCAGACUAUAGGAAAAACCUUCAAAUAUUCAGUAUUGUCACCCUAGUCCACAUAACCACUACAAAAAUUGCUGGUUUCACUUUCUGCAAACAUAGGUUCUCUGUCUUGGCCAGACUCUGAUCCAUGAAAAAGAAAAAUAACAAAAGUAGCAGAUUGUUGAUUUUUUCUCCCUGCUCUGGAAUUAAAGUCAUUUGGUUGUCAUUCCAUAGAUCUCUGAUUCCUUAAAAAUGCAUUUUUGGGGAGAUCUGGCAAGAUGGCUGAAUAGGAACAGCCCCAGUCUGCAGCUCACAUCAAGAGCAACACAGAAGGCAGUUGUGCCUGGAACCUCAGCGAGGCAGAAUCAUUCACUCCCCUGGAAAGGGGGCUAAAGCCAGGGAGCCAAGUGGUCUCGCUCAGCAGGUCCCACUUUCCUGGAGCCCAGCGAGCAAACAACAACUGGCUUGAAAUUCUCACUGCCAGCGCAGCAGUCUGAAGUGGACGUGAGACAAUCAAGCUUGGUGGGUGGGAGGGGCAUCUGCCAUUACUGAGGCUUGAGUAGGCGAUUUUUCCCCUGACAGUGCUAAGGAGGCCAGGAAGUUCAAACUUGGCAGAAUUCACCACAGUGCAGCAAAGUAUCUGUGGCCAGUCUGCCUCUCUAGAUUCUUCUCACUGGGCAAGGCAUCUCUGAAAAAAAGGCAGCAGCCCCAGUCAGGGGCUUAUAGAUAAAACUCCCAUCUCCCUGGGUCAGAGAACCUGGGGGAAGGGGCAGCUGUGGGUGCAACUUGAGCAGACUUAAACAUUCCUGCCUGCCGGUUCUGAAGAGAGGAGCAGAUCUCCCAGCACAGUGUUCGAGCUCUGCUAAGGGACAAACUGCCUCCUCAAGUGGGUCCCUGACCCCCAUAUGCCUCCUGACUGGGAGACAGCUCUUAGCAGGGGUUGACAGACACCUCAUAGAGGAGAGCUCUGGCUGGCAUCAGGCCAGUGCCCCUCUGGGACAAAGCUUCCUGAAAAAGGAGCAGGUGGCAGUCUUUGCUCUUCUGCAGCCUACAUGGGUGAUAUCCAAGCAAACAGGGUCUGGAGUGGACCUCAACUACAGCAGGCCUGCAGAAGAGGAGCCUGACUGUUAGAAGAAAAACUAACAAACAGAAAGCAAUAACAUCAACAUCAACAAGAAGGACCCCCACAUGAAAACCCCAUCCAAAGGUCAUCAGCCUCAAAGAUCAAAGGUAGAUAAAUCCAUGAAGAUGAGAAAAAAAACAAUGCAAAAAUGCUGAAAAUUCCAAAAACCAGAAUGCCUCGUCUCCAAAUGAUCACAACUGGUCUCUAGCAAACCUAGAUGACGGAUUGAUAGGUGCAGCAAACCACCAUGGCAUAUGUAUACCUAUGUAACAAACCUGCACAUUCUACACAUUUAUCCCAGAACUUAAAAGUAAAAAUAUAAUAAAUAAGAUUAAAUUAAAUUUAAAAAGAUACUUCCAUAUGCAUGUUUAUAGCAGCACAAUUCACAAUUGCAAAAAUGUGGAACCAACCCAAGUGCCCAUCAAUCAACGAGUGGAUAAAGAACCUGUGGUAUUAUAUGUAUAUGAUGGAAUACCACUCACUCACAGAAGGGAAUGAAUUAACGGCAUUUGCAGUGACCUGGAUGAGAUUGGAGACAAUUAUUCUAAAUGAAGUAGCUCAGGAAUGGAAAACCAAGCAUCAUAUGUUCUCACGCAUUAGUAGGAGCUAAGCUAUGAGGAUGCAAAGGCAUAGGAAUGGCACAAUGGACUUUGGGGACUCAGGGGAAAAGGGUGGGAAGUGGGUAAGGGAUAAAAGACUACAAAUAGGAUGCAGUCUAUACUGCUCGGUGAUGAGUGCACCAAAAUCUCACCAAAUCACCACUAAAGAACUACCCAUGUAACCAAACACCACCUGUUCCCCAAUAACCUAUGGAAAUUAAAAAAAAAAAAAAAAAGUUUAAUUUCAUUUACUGCCACCUAUUUUGUUGUUGUCAUUGUUGUUAAAUAAUUUACUAAUACAUAUAAGUGCUCGAACAUAUUGCCAUUAAUUUUGUUUUAUGAGGUCAGUUAACUUACAGGAUACUUGAGAAAAACUAAUUAUAUUUCUCUUACAGUUACCAGUCUACCUUUCUGCAUUCUUUCCUGUAGAAGCAGUUUCCCAUCUGAUACUGUUUCCCUCAGUAAAAAGAACAUCCUUCAGCAUUUCUUACAGUGUGGACCUGCUGGCAACACAUUCAUUCAGCUUUUACUAACCUGGAAAUAUUUUUAUUUUGCUUCAUUUUUUAAAAUUAAGUUUUUAAUUUGGUAUAAUUGUAAGUUCACAUGUUACCAUAAGGAAUAACACCAAGAGAUCCCAUGUUUCCUGUCCCAGUUUACCCCAAUGGCGAUGUCUUGUAAAACUGUAACACAAUAUUACAACCAAGAUAUUGAUAAUGAUACAAUCAAAAUACAGAAGAGCUCCAUUAUCACAGGGAUCCCUAUGAUAGAGGAAGCCACACCCACCUUCUACCUCUCCCCCAUUCUUGAUUCCUGAAAACCAUUAAUUUGCUCUCCAUUUUUAUCAUUUUACCAUUUCAAGAAUGUUAUAUAAAUGGAAUUGCAUAGAAUGUAAACUUUUUUAGUUUCAACAUACCUGGAGAUUUAUACAAGUUGUUGCAUGUUCCUUUUAUAAUUGAGUAGUAUUCCACUGUAUUUAUGUACCACAGUUUAACUCAUUGAAGGACUUCUGAAUUGUUUUUAGUUUGGGGCUAUUACAAGUAAAACCACUAUGAAAAUUUGUGUCCACAUUUUGUGUAUUUGUAAGUUUUUAUUUCUCUGGAAUAACUAUCCAAGAGUGCAACUGCAGAGUUAUGUGGGAGUUGUAUGAUUUGUUUUUAAGGAAACUUCCACAGGAUUUUUCAAAGAGGCUGUAUCAUUUUACAUUCCUACCAGAAAUGCAUGAGUGAUCUAGUUUCUACUCGUCCUUGUUGACUUUUAAUAUUGUCACUAUUUUUAUAUUUGCCAUUCUGAUAAGUAUGUAGUGAUAUCUCAGUACAGUUUUAGUUUAUUUUGCCAUCUGUAUAUCCUCUGAUUCUUUCCUCUGUCAUCUUCAUUACCCUAUUGAACCUGUCUAGUGAGUUUUGCUGCUGUUGUUUUUGUGUCUUUCAGUUUUAUAAUUUAUAAUUUCUUUUUUCACACACACAAAUGUGCGAAAUGUGUGAAAGUGUUUCUUAAAUAUUACAAGAUACAAUAUCAACUAAAAAUACAUUAUAUUAAAAUUGAAAGCU
This 5125-nucleotide long non-coding RNA is filed under the name Homo sapiens (human). Its description in RNAcentral is "HSALNT0366708". Lineage: Eukaryota; Metazoa; Chordata; Mammalia; Primates; Hominidae. The record is from RNAcentral.